Molecule: ribosomal RNA, 478 nt
Filed under: uncultured bacterium
Lineage: Bacteria
Description: partial 16S ribosomal RNA
Rfam family: Bacterial small subunit ribosomal RNA
Source: RNAcentral
GAUGAACGCUAGCGGCAGGCCUAACACAUGCAAGUCGAGGGAGAAGCCCUUUCGGGGGCAGAAACCGGCGCACGGGUGCGUAACGCGUAUGCAACCUACCUUUCACAGGGGGAUAGCCCGAAGAAAUUUGGAUUAAUACCCCAUAAUAUUAUUGGAUGGCAUCAUUUGAUAAUUAAAACUGCGGUGGUGAAAGAUGGGCAUGCGUCCUAUUAGCUAGUUGGAGUGGUAACGGCACCCCAAGGCUACGAUAGGUAGGGGUCCUGAGAGGGAGAUCCCCCACACUGGUACUGAGACAGGGACCAGACGCCUACGGGAGGCAGCAGUGAGGAAUAUUGGUCAAUGGUCGGAAGACUGAACCAGCCAUGCCGCGUGCAGGAAGAAUGCCUUAUGGGUUGUAAACUGCUUUUAUAUGGGAAGAAUAAGGCGUACGUGUACGUUGAUGACGGUACCAUAUGAAUAAGCAUCGGCUAACUCCGUG